CACAGGUCAAAUCAUGGUCACAGUGAAGGAGCAGGAUCUGCUGAAGGGCAACCAGUGCAUUUUCCUGAGCCAAACUAGCCAUUUGAAUACCGGUGGAACUAGCUGGGUUGGAUAUCCCUACUGGUCCCAUGAGAAUCCAUGAAAGAAAUGAGUCCUGUUUGCCUGCUCCCUGCUCUGCUGCAACUAAGCCUCGUUGCAUCAAAAUGUCUCAAAAUUCCACAUCAGAGGUCAAAGCUGUCCCUACUGUUGUCUUGCCUGGCUGGCCCCAAUCUAGUUCACCUAAGCUCCACCUUCAGCGAUCAGAACCCAUAGUGCUCUUUGUGGGACCUGGACCCCAAGGAAGAAGAAUGUGUGUCCCUGCACAUUCACAUGACUGUAUUUGUGUGUGUUGGGAAGGCUACUUGUGUGAGGGAGGAGAGAAAAUACAUCCAGUUUUCUCCAGAAUCACAACCUGGAAAGAAGAGGAGUCAGGAGGCUGAGGUCUAGGACUCUGAUGUGGUUUGGCUGUGUCCUCACCCAAAUCUCAUCUUGAAUUGUAGCUCUCAUAAUACCCAUAUGUUGUGGGAAGGACCUGGUGGGAGAUAACUGAACCAUGGGGAUGGGUUUUCCCCUGCUGUUCUCAUGGUAGUGAAUAAGUCUCACGAGAUCUGAUGAUUUUAAAAGGGGAAACCCCUUCCACUUGUCCAUGAUUCUCUCUUGUCUGUCGCCAUGUAAGACGUGCUUUUGUUUCUGCCAUGAUUGUGAGGCUGCCAUGUGGAAUUGUGAGUCCAUUAAACCUCCCAGUCACGUGGAACUGUGAGUCCAUUAAACUUCUUUUUCUUUACAAAUUAC
This 831-nucleotide long non-coding RNA is filed under the name Homo sapiens (human). RNAcentral describes it as "HSALNT0227896". The record is from RNAcentral. Lineage: Eukaryota; Metazoa; Chordata; Mammalia; Primates; Hominidae.